CGGGACACGUGGUAUCCUGUCUGAAUAUGGGGGGACCAUCCUCCAAGGCUAAAUACUCCUGACUGACCGAUAGUGAACCAGUACCGUGAGGGAAAGGCGAAAAGAACCCCGGCGAGGGGAGUGAAAAAGAACCUGAAACCGUGUACGUACAAGCAGUGGGAGCCUCUUAAUGGGGUGACUGCGUACCUUUUGUAUAAUGGGUCAGCGACUUAUAUUCUGUAGCAAGGUUAACCGAAUAGGGGAGCCGAAGGGAAACCGAGUCUUAACUGGGCGUUAAGUUGCAGGGUAUAGACCCGAAACCCGGUGAUCUAGCCAUGGGCAGGUUGAAGGUUGGGUAACACUAACUGGAGGACCGAACCGACUAAUGUUGAAAAAUUAGCGGAUGACUUGUGGCUGGGGGUGAAAGGCCAAUCAAACCGGGAGAUAGCUGGUUCUCCCCGAAAGCUAUUUAGGUAGCGCCUCGUGAAUUCAUCUCCGGGGGUAGAGCACUGUUUCGGCAAGGGGGUCAUCCCGACUUACCAACCCGAUGCAAACUGCGAAUACCGGAGAAUGUUAUCACGGGAGACACACGGCGGGUGCUAACGUCCGUCGUGAAGAGGGAAACAACCCAGACCGCCAGCUAAGGUCCCAAAGUCAUGGUUAAGUGGGAAACGAUGUGGGAAGGCCCAGACAGCCAGGAUGUUGGCUUAGAAGCAGCCAUCAUUUAAAGAAAGCGUAAUAGCUCACUGGUCGAGUCGGCCUGCGCGGAAGAUGUAACGGGGCUAAACCAUGCACCGAAGCUGCGGCAGCGACACUAUGUGUUGUUGGGUAGGGGAGCGUUCUGUAAGCCUGUGAAGGUGUACUGUGAGGUAUGCUGGAGGUAUCAGAAGUGCGAAUGCUGACAUAAGUAACGAUAAAGCGGGUGAAAAGCCCGCUCGCCGGAAGACCAAGGGUUCCUGUCCAACGUUAAUCGGGGCAGGGUGAGUCGACCCCUAAGGCGAGGCCGAAAGGCGUAGUCGAUGGGAAACAGGUUAAUAUUCCUGUACUUGGUGUUACUGCGAAGGGGGGACGGAGAAGGCUAUGUUGGCCGGGCGACGGUUGUCCCGGUUUAAGCGUGUAGGCUGGUUUUCCAGGCAAAUCCGGAAAAUCAAGGCUGAGGCGUGAUGACGAGGCACUACGGUGCUGAAGCAACAAAUGCCCUGCUUCCAGGAAAAGCCUCUAAGCAUCAGGUAACAUCAAAUCGUACCCCAAACCGACACAGGUGGUCAGGUAGAGAAUACCAAGGCGCUUGAGAGAACUCGGGUGAAGGAACUAGGCAAAAUGGUGCCGUAACUUCGGGAGAAGGCACGCUGAUAUGUAGGUGAAGUCCCUUGCGGAUGGAGCUGAAAUCAGUCGAAGAUACCAGCUGGCUGCAACUGUUUAUUAAAAACACAGCACUGUGCAAACACGAAAGUGGACGUAUACGGUGUGACGCCUGCCCGGUGCCGGAAGGUUAAUUGAUGGGGUUAGCGGUAACGCGAAGCUCUUGAUCGAAGCCCCGGUAAACGGCGGCCGUAACUAUAACGGUCCUAAGGUAGCGAAAUUCCUUGUCGGGUAAGUUCCGACCUGCACGAAUGGCGUAAUGAUGGCCAGGCUGUCUCCACCCGAGACUCAGUGAAAUUGAACUCGCUGUGAAGAUGCAGUGUACCCGCGGCAAGACGGAAAGACCCCGUGAACCUUUACUAUAGCUUGACACUGAACAUUGAGCCUUGAUGUGUAGGAUAGGUGGGAGGCUUUGAAGUGUGGACGCCAGUCUGCAUGGAGCCGGCCUUGAAAUACCACCCUUUAAUGUUUGAUGUUCUAACGUUGGCCCCUGAUCGGGGUUGCGGACAGUGUCUGGUGGGUAGUUUGACUGGGGCGGUCUCCUCCUAAAGAGUAACGGAGGAGCACGAAGGUUGGCUAAUCCUGGUCGGACAUCAGGAGGUUAGUGCAAUGGCAUAAGCCAGCUUGACUGCGAGCGUGACGGCGCGAGCAGGUGCGAAAGCAGGUCAUAGUGAUCCGGUGGUUCUGAAUGGAAGGGCCAUCGCUCAACGGAUAAAAGGUACUCCGGGGAUAACAGGCUGAUACCGCCCAAGAGUUCAUAUCGACGGCGGUGUUUGGCACCUCGAUGUCGGCUCAUCACAUCCUGGGGCUGAAGUAGGUCCCAAGGGUAUGGCUGUUCGCCAUUUAAAGUGGUACGCGAGCUGGGUUUAGAACGUCGUGAGACAGUUCGGUCCCUAUCUGCCGUGGGCGCUGGAGAACUGAGGGGGGCUGCUCCUAGUACGAGAGGACCGGAGUGGACGCAUCACUGGUGUUCGGGUUGUCAUGCCAAUGGCACUGCCCGGUAGCUAAAUGCGGAAGAGAUAAGUGCUGAAAGCAUCUAAGCACGAAACUUGCCCC
Molecule: ribosomal RNA, 2397 nt
Filed under: Escherichia coli
Lineage: Bacteria; Pseudomonadati; Pseudomonadota; Gammaproteobacteria; Enterobacterales; Enterobacteriaceae
Description: partial 23S ribosomal RNA
Rfam family: Bacterial large subunit ribosomal RNA
Source: RNAcentral